ACCGUUCGUUGUGGUAAAUGGAAUUAAUUAUUUUAUUUUGAGAAUAAAUACCAACUGAACAAAUACUCUCAAUUGGCUCGAUAUACGGAGGAAGUUUCACCAGAAAAGUUAUUUUAACAGCGAAAGUUCUUAUUUUUGAAUCACUUUCUGAAAAACAACACAACAGACAUGUACGUUCCAUUAUUGAUUAUCAUUUUUGUGGCAACAAUAACUUCAGCCCAAUACACUACUCCAGUUUGCCCCAUUGUUGAAAAGCCAUGGUGUGCAGUUAGGUGUAAUGUAGAUGUGGAAGAGCCAAUCUGCGUAUUAACAAGUGGUUGUAAAGGAAUUCCAAUUACUUUACGCAAUAUGUGUGUAAUGAGUGGUUACAACUGCAAGUGUCGAUCAUCACCGUUAACACUCCUGCACGAAGGUGUAUGCUAACCGGUUGGGACUUGAUUAUAUCAACAAUUAAUGCAGUUUUAUUAAUUGGAGAAACUAUAGGGUAACAGCCCCCUCGAUUUACGAGCAGUGAAAGUGAUGCCACUGUUUGAGUGAGAGAGACAAAACAGGGGCUCGUA
Molecule: long non-coding RNA, 560 nt
Organism: Bradysia coprophila
Lineage: Eukaryota; Metazoa; Arthropoda; Insecta; Diptera; Sciaridae
Source: RefSeq, a predicted model, not a curated record